This 459-nucleotide ribosomal RNA is filed under the name uncultured bacterium. RNAcentral's name for it is "partial 16S ribosomal RNA". It matches the Rfam family "Bacterial small subunit ribosomal RNA", at positions 338 to 795 of the family's 1533-position model. The record is from RNAcentral.
CCUACGGGUGGCAGCAGUGAGGAAUAUUGGUCAAUGGGCGCGAGCCUGAACCAGCCAAGUCGCGUGAGGGAAGACGGUCCUAUGGAUUUUAAACCUCUUUUGUCGGGGAGCAAAAGACUCCACGCGUGUCUUUCCGAGUGUACCCGAAGAACAAGCAUCGGCUAACUCCGUGCCAGCAGCCGCGGUAAUACGGAGGAUGCGAGCGUUAUCCGGAUUUAUUGGGUUUAAAGGGUGCGCAGGCGGAAGAUCAAGUCAGCGGUAAAAUUGAGAGGCUCAACCUCUUCGAGCCGUUGAAACUGGUGUUCUUGAGUGAGUGAGAAGUAUGCGGAAUGCGUGGUGUAGCGGUGAAAUGCAUAGAUAUCACGCAGAACUCCGAUUGCGAAGGCAGCAUACCGGCGCGCAACUGACGCUCAUGCACGAAAGUGUGGGUAUCGAACAGGAUUAGAUACCCCUGUAGUC